This 391-nucleotide small RNA is filed under the name Oryza sativa Japonica Group (Japanese rice). RNAcentral describes it as "sRNA Os10g0518150". The record is from RNAcentral. Lineage: Eukaryota; Viridiplantae; Streptophyta; Magnoliopsida; Poales; Poaceae.
GGAUACAUAAUACUCCAUAAUAUAACAAUACAACAUACCGUUCCCCUCAACAAAUAUCAUUAUUUAGUUCUUUUGAUCCAAAUCAUUUCACCUAAUAUAGCUUCAUGGACCAUAUUGAUUAUCAACAUUGUAAUAACAGAUCUACUCAGAUUUGGUGUACUGCCGGAUAGCAAAUGCAAGCCCCAAGAUCAAGAUGGGGACAAGAAACUGCAAGAUCUUAAUGAGCAUGUCAUCGCCCUUGUCUGGGUUGCCGGGCGCUUGCUGGGGAGUGACAUGAGUACGCUUUACUGGGAUGGUUGAAGCAUCAAUCUCCCCAAUGAGAUACUUCUCCAUCAUCUCCCUUGCUGAUUCACUGUGGCCAAUGUCUUCAAAAUCAUUGGUUGCGUCUUUG